Molecule: ribosomal RNA, 459 nt
Filed under: uncultured bacterium
Lineage: Bacteria
Description: partial 16S ribosomal RNA
Rfam family: Bacterial small subunit ribosomal RNA
Source: RNAcentral
CCUACGGGAGGCAGCAGUGAGGAAUAUUGGUCAAUGGGCGGAAGCCUGAACCAGCCAAGUAGCGUGCAGGAUGACGGCCCUACGGGUUGUAAACUGCUUUUAUACGGGAAUAACGCGCCUUAUGUGUAGGGCUUUGCAUGUACCGUAUGAAAAAGGACCGGCUAAUUCCGUGCCAGCAGCCGCGGAAAUACGGAAGGUCCGGGCGUUAACCGGAUUUAUUGGGUUUAAAGGGAGCGUAGGCGGUCUGUUAAGUCAGUGGUCAAAGCCCGGGGCUCAACCCCGGCCCGCCGUUGAAACUGGCAGUCUCGAGUUGGAGAGAAGUAUGCGGAAGGCGCGGUGUAGCGGUGAAAUGCAUAGAUAUCGCGCAGAACUCCGAUUGCGAAGGCAGCAUGCCGGCUCCACACUGACGCUGAGGCACGAAAGCGUGGGUAUCGAACAGGAUUAGAGACCCGAGUAGUC